CAUCGGUGCUUAAAUCUUCGAUUAAAGUGCGUGUCCUGUGAGCAGAAUGAUUAAAAUGCAAUUUGCCACGCUUGUGCAUGUGUGCACAGUCUUGGUAAAGUGCAUCAUUACAUCAUUUCACUGAAGUUACAAAUGUACAAAGUAUAUUCCCUAUAAAAAAAAAAAGUCUGUCUUAUUUGAGAAAUAUUUACCCCCUGACUCAUUCAAAGCAUUUGUUGCCAUCAAAUGCGGCAAAAUAAUCACAACCGCAAUGAUUUUUUUAUUACAACAAUCUGAUCUCAUUAUGCUUAUUUCUACUAGAAUGAGAGGCAGAAAGAAAUGCAUUAAUGGAAGAAUCCUAUCCUCAAUUACCCAAUUACUGCAAGGAAAGAGUUGUAAUUCCAGCUGCUAGACCUGAGGUGGGGGCUUCCAGGUGGUGUCGGAAGUGAUCACCAUGUUUUCAUACAUCUGGAAAUGUUGAAGAAGUAUCAGGAGAUGAGACAUCAAACAUUUGUUGUUUUUGUUGGGUGAAAGCCUGAUGAUCCCGUCAUCCCAGGAAUAUUAUGAAAGAAAAACUUAGAAUUAAUUAAAGGUAUAAUUGGAAGAGUGAAACUAGCUGAAUUAAUGCAAAAGCAGAAAAUGUUAAGUGUUGCGUCUCGUGGGGAAUCAAAAGAGACAGUUCUGAGUGAAAAAAGCAGCGCAGACGGAUGAUCGUCAGGCAGGUGUUACUCAACGCUUUUGGGGAACUGGCAAAUCAUCAAAAGAAGAUGUAACUGGAAUUGACUCUAAGAGAGAAUCAGACUCAAACAUUUCAGAUGAGGAGGAUCUGUUUAAUGUGUCAUCUUCACUCCUCAAGCAUAAACCUGCCGUUGAGCGUGACAAAGAGCUGCAGCUUCUUAACCAGUGGUACAGACAGGAGGAAAAUCUGGUUUCAAGCAUUUACAAACCUCAGCCGACCAGGGGAAUAGAAGAGAAGCCACGGUGUUCAGUGGAGAUGUGGUUGUGAAGCUGAAAUGCCAGGACCCUGUGGCCGCUGUUCAGGGAGAAGCUGCAACUAAUGACUGCUUCCCUGUGAUCUUUAGGUAAUGAAUGUUUAGAAACUGUCUUCUUGCUUCUCCAAAAGAGCAGAAUAUUUUAAAAAAUAUUUCGGUGGCCCCUGAGGUUUUCAGGAGCAUCUUUUCUAAAUUCUGCUAGAGUUGUUUGAAAAUCACGCUGGCAGCCUUCCAGCAGCUUGAGGUGCCUAAUUCCUCCUAAAA
RNAcentral lists this long non-coding RNA (1235 nucleotides) under Calidris pygmaea (Spoon-billed sandpiper). RNAcentral's name for it is "lncRNA (ENSCPGG00000012335.1)". Lineage: Eukaryota; Metazoa; Chordata; Aves; Charadriiformes; Scolopacidae. The record is from RNAcentral.